GUGCUCAUUUUGGCAGCACAUGUACUAAAAUUAGAAUGAGAAUGACAAGAUUAGCAUGGCCCCUGAGCAAGGAUGACUCACAAAUUUGUGAAGAAUUGGCAUAUAAG
Small nuclear RNA from Peromyscus maniculatus bairdii (prairie deer mouse), 107 nucleotides. NCBI's taxonomy places the organism in Eukaryota, Metazoa, Chordata, Mammalia, Rodentia, Cricetidae. The record is from Ensembl.